This 446-nucleotide ribosomal RNA is filed under the name uncultured bacterium. RNAcentral describes it as "bacterial SSU rRNA". It matches the Rfam family "Bacterial small subunit ribosomal RNA", at positions 330 to 793 of the family's 1533-position model. The record is from RNAcentral.
UCCAGACUCCUACGGGAGGCAGCAGUGGGGAAUAUUGCACAAUGGGGGAAACCCUGAUGCAGCGACGCCGCGUGAGUGAAGAAGUAUUUCGGUAUGUAAAGCUCUAUCAGCAGGGAAGAAAAUGACGGUACCUGACCAAGAAGCCCCGGCUAACUACGUGCCAGCAGCCGCGGUAAUACGUAGGGGGCAAGCGUUAUCCGGAUUUACUGGGUGUAAAGGGAGCGUAGACGGCUGAGCAAGUCAGAAGUGAAAGCCCGGGGCUCAACCCCGGGACUGCUUUUGAAACUGCGGAGCUGGAGUGCAGGAGAGGUAAGCGGAAUUCCUGGUGUAGCGGUGAAAUGCGUAGAUAUCAGGAGGAACACCAGUGGCGAAGGCGGCUUACUGGACUGUAACUGACGUUGAGGCUCGAAAGCGUGGGGAGCAAACAGGAUUAGAUACCCCCGUAU